ACGGCCAAUUCCAUGUUGAAAACACCGGUUCUCGUCUAAUCAACAAAGUUAAGCAAUGUUGGGUCCUGUCAGUACUUGGGAGGGUGACCACUUGGGUGCUGUAGGUU
Non-coding RNA from Cordylochernes scorpioides, 107 nucleotides. The record is from the annotation of a GenBank genome assembly. NCBI's taxonomy places the organism in Eukaryota, Metazoa, Arthropoda, Arachnida, Pseudoscorpiones, Chernetidae.